RNAcentral lists this ribosomal RNA (429 nucleotides) under Verrucomicrobiota bacterium. RNAcentral's name for it is "Verrucomicrobia bacterium partial 16S ribosomal RNA". It matches the Rfam family "Bacterial small subunit ribosomal RNA", at positions 355 to 776 of the family's 1533-position model. Lineage: Bacteria; Pseudomonadati; Verrucomicrobiota. The record is from RNAcentral.
UAGGGAAUCUUCCGCAAUGGACGAAAGUCUGACGGAGCAACGCCGCGUGAGUGAAGAAUGAUUUCGGUUCGUAAAACUCUGUUGUUAGGGAAGAAAAAAUGUAUAGUAACUAUAUACAAAAGAGACGGUACCUAACCAGAAAGCCACGGCUAACUACGUGCCAGCAGCCGCGGUAAUACGUAGGUGGCAAGCGUUGUCCGGAAUUAUUGGGCGUAAAGCGCGCGCAGGUGGUUUAGAAAGUCUGAUGUGAAAGCCCACGGCUCAACCGUGGAGGGUCAUUGGAAACUAAUAAACUUGAGUGCAGGAGAGAAAAGUGGAAUUCCUAGUGUAGCGGUGAAAUGCGUAGAGAUUAGGAGGAACACCGGUGGCGAAAGCGGCUUUUUGGCCUGCAACUGACACUGAGGCGCGAAAGCGUGGGGAGCAAACAGG